Molecule: transfer RNA, 66 nt
Filed under: Pedicia sp. ZK-2016
Lineage: Eukaryota; Metazoa; Arthropoda; Insecta; Diptera; Pediciidae
Description: tRNA-Asp
Rfam family: tRNA
About the family: Transfer RNA (tRNA) molecules are approximately 80 nucleotides in length. Their secondary structure includes four short double-helical elements and three loops (D, anti-codon, and T loops). Further hydrogen bonds mediate the characteristic L-shaped molecular structure. tRNAs have two regions of fundamental functional importance: the anti-codon, which is responsible for specific mRNA codon recognition, and the 3' end, to which the tRNAs corresponding amino acid is attached (by aminoacyl-tRNA synthetases). tRNAs cope with the degeneracy of the genetic code in two manners: having more than one tRNA (with a specific anti-codon) for a particular amino acid; and 'wobble' base-pairing, i.e. permitting non-standard base-pairing at the 3rd anti-codon position.
Source: RNAcentral
AAAGAAUUAGUUAAACAGAUAACAUUAGCUUGUCAAGCUAAAAUUAUUAUUAUAUAAUAUUCUUUG